UGAGCUUCCAAACAGCAGAUGGCGCUGUCUUAGAUCUGCUGUGCUGAAUCUGAGGCGGCUCCGGUCUGUCCUUUACAUGAUGAGGUUUAUCUCUGUGUUUAACGGCUCUGACUCUCCCCCAGGACAAGACGAGGAGGAAAUGUCAAAAAGAAAAGAACAGCCUCUGGCUCUGAGCCUCCAGAGGGCAGCACUGAGCCUCCAGAGGGCAGCACUGAGCCACAGCUCUAUGGGACAAAACGCAGAUCCACAGCCUCAGUGUCCGCUCUGUCCAUGAAGAGUGACUGGUCUAAAGGCCACGUUCCAAACUUCAGUCCUGAACCUGCUCCAGACUCACGAAGCAGAUCCACAGCCUCAGUGUCCGCUCUGUCCAUGAAGAGUGACUGGUCUAAAGGCCACGUUCCAAACUUCAGUCCUGAACCUGCUCCAGACUCACGAAGCAGAUCUACAGCCUCAGUGUCCGCUCUGUCCAUGAAGAGUGACAGGUCUAAAGAGUUCCCUCCAGAGUUCAGUGGUGAACCUGCUCCAGACUCACAAGAAACAGAGUCAGAGCAGGACGCCUGGCCUCAGUGUGGAGACACAGGCAACAGUCCUGAUCAGUGGGUUCAAGGCCCUGCACCAGGUGAGUCUGCUCAGUCUGAGACUCAUGAACUACAGCAGGGAAUAAGAGACCUGUUCAUCAACAUUAACAGGUG
RNAcentral lists this long non-coding RNA (692 nucleotides) under Neogobius melanostomus (round goby). RNAcentral's name for it is "lncRNA (ENSNMLG00000026962.1)". Lineage: Eukaryota; Metazoa; Chordata; Actinopteri; Gobiiformes; Gobiidae. The record is from RNAcentral.